Long non-coding RNA from Schistocerca serialis cubense, 667 nucleotides. RefSeq lists it as uncharacterized. The record is from RefSeq and is a predicted model, not a curated record. The transcript has 3 exons. Lineage: Eukaryota; Metazoa; Arthropoda; Insecta; Orthoptera; Acrididae.
AAAAAAAAAAUUAAGAUAGAUCUUUCUCAUCAGAUCGCAACCACUCGCACGCAAAUGUACGUCAGUCGUGCGCAUUGUUCUAAAGCUUUUCUGUUAAUAUUCAGUGGAUUGCAUCUCCGUAAUUAGUUUUUGUUUAUGCCGCAAAUCGCACCUCACGCGGAUUAUUUAUUACGCAAGUUUCAGGCUCCAUUUUAUGUCAAAAAUUCCUAAGUACGAGUGACUAAGCAAACCACUACAAUAAUUUCAUAUCUCUACAACUACAAUAACACAAAACAACAAUAUCAUAACAGAGAGGGGCACGUGGUGAGGCUCUCGUGCUGUUUAAAUAAGUUUCUGCAAGAGUAUCUGGGGUGCACUCUAACCAUAAUUCUGAUGACUCUUUUCUGUGCUAUAAGGACUUCAUUUGCUCAUGACUGGUUACCCCAAAAUAUGGUGCCAAAUGUCAUAAGUGUAUGGAAAAUCCUAGAAGCCUGCUGCACCUGCCAUAACCUUCAGCUGGAUGAGGGUCUUCCUCUCUUACUUUAGGCAACAAGUCAAAUGUAUUAGAUGCUGUAAGCUCAAAUGAAGUUGAGGUUGUUCCUCUUUAACCCAUUACUUGUUACCCUUAUCCAGUGCCUUUGGUCUUUUUUUUUUCCCUUCAAUGUAUUUAGUUCAAAUUCCACAUGAU